UACGAAGGGGGCUAGCGUUGUUCGGAUUUACUGGGCGUAAAGCGCACGUAGGCGGUUUGUUAAGUCAGGGGUGAAAUCCCGGAGCUCAACUCCGGAACUGCCUUUGAUACUGGCAAGCUAGAGUCCGGAAGAGGUAAGUGGAACUCCUAGUGUAGAGGUGAAAUUCGUAGAUAUUAGGAAGAACACCAGUGGCGAAGGCGGCUCACUGGUCCGGGUACUGACGCUGAGGUGCGAAAGCGUGGGGGAGCAAACAGG
Molecule: ribosomal RNA, 255 nt
Filed under: uncultured bacterium
Lineage: Bacteria
Description: partial 16S ribosomal RNA
Rfam family: Bacterial small subunit ribosomal RNA
Source: RNAcentral